Molecule: ribosomal RNA, 398 nt
Filed under: uncultured bacterium
Lineage: Bacteria
Description: partial 16S ribosomal RNA
Rfam family: Bacterial small subunit ribosomal RNA
Source: RNAcentral
AUACGUAGGGUGCGAGCGUUGUCCGGAAUUACUGGGCGUAAAGAGCUCGUAGGUGGUUUGUCGCGUCGUCUGUGAAAUUCCGGGGCUUAACUCCGGGCGUGCAGGCGAUACGGGCAUAACUUGAGUACUGUAGGGGAGACUGGAAUUCCUGGAGUAGCGGUGAAAUGCGCAGAUAUCAGGAGGAACACCGGUGGCGAAGGCGGGUCUCUGGGCAGUAACUGACGCUGAGGAGCGAAAGCAUGGGUAGCGAACAGGAUUAGAUACCCUGGUAGUCCAUGCCGUAAACGGUGGGCGCUAGGUGUAGGGGUCUUCCACGACUUCUGUGCCGUAGCUAACGCAUUAAGCGCCCCGCCUGGGGAGUACGGCCGCAAGGCUAAAACUCAAAUGAAUUGACGGGG